This is a long non-coding RNA of Entelurus aequoreus (snake pipefish), 938 nucleotides long. RefSeq lists it as uncharacterized. The record is from RefSeq and is a predicted model, not a curated record. Lineage: Eukaryota; Metazoa; Chordata; Actinopteri; Syngnathiformes; Syngnathidae. The transcript is spliced from 5 exons.
ACGUCACACACCAGUCACAGUUAGAGCGAUGUACUCUGCGCCCACUUUCGCUUCAAAAUAAACUUUAGAUAAAACUGAGGCAGCGACAAAACUUUUUUAUCUUUGGCACAUAUCAAGUUUAAAAUAACAUCUUAAAGCGAAACAUGAAUGUGAGUAUGGCGCCGCUAGCAUGAAUGCUACUUAGGUAGGGUUGCCAAACGUCCCUUGAAACACGGAAAUGUCCCGUAUUUAAAAACAAAAGGCUGGUGCGUCCUGUAAAAGAAAAAGGUAAAUCGUGACGUCACACGCCAGUUUUGGCUCGGCAGUUUCGCCACAGUCGCCAGCAGACACCAAGCAGGCAUCUUGUCAGUGCAGCAGAUAACUAAAUGUCCGAGGUUCAGCACACGACGUCAUUCAAUGAGGAUUUUACACAUCCAGUUUGAGGUGCUUGGGUGUGCUGUGGAAGCCUUUGACAACGCUGCACACACACUCACACACACACACACGCACAGGGUGUGUUGCCCUGAUGCUAGUUAGUUCCAUCAGGACGAGACUGAGCCCGAGUCUUCGACAUCAGUCGAGUCGUAUUCAUCAGCAGAUUCGGCCCGACAGAAUGGUGGUGACGGCCGACACCAGCGUGGCAAAGUUAGGCCGCAGCUCUGGAUCGGGGUCCCAGCACUGGAGCAUGAUGCUAUACCUGGAAAAAACACGGACAGUCUGAGUCUUUCGGUAGCAUCGUUUUACUGCUCAGUGUUGCCAACUUAGCGAGUGAUAAGAAAGCCCAAAUAGAUCGCAACACUGCAGCUACAAAGAAUACACUUGCUUUCAUAUUCUUUGUGUAACCUGUGAAUAAUAAUGUCAGAGAGAGUGUGCCGUUAGGGCCAGCAAGGCCUUCUCUGCUGGCCUAACAUAAAUCAUGAUCAUAGAUUAAUAAAAGUUCAUUUUAAUCUACUUUCCAU